GAUCCUGCCGGACCCGACUGCUAUCGGAGAGAGACUAAGCCAUGCGAGUCGAACGCCCUUUAACCACGCGGAGGGCGUGGCGGACGGCUCAGUAACACGUAGUCAACCUGCCCUGAGGACGCAGAUAACCCCGGGAAACUGGGACUAACCUGCGGUAGGUGAAUAUUCCUGGAAUGGGUCUUCGCCGAAAGAGGCCGGCGAGCAUGUUUCGCCGGUCCUGCCUCAGGAUGGGACUGCGGCCGAUCAGGUUGUUGGUGGGGUAAAGGCCCACCAAGCCGAUAACCGGUGCGGGCUUUGAGAGAAGGAGCCCGGAGAUGGACACUGAGAUAAGGGUCCAGGUCCUACGGGGCGCAGCAGGCGCGAAACCUUCGCAAUGCGUGAAAGCGCGACGAGGUUACUCCGAGUGCAGCCCGCUGAGGGCUGCUUUUCCCAGGUCUAAACCGCCUGAGGAAUAAGGGGAGGGAAAGCCUGGUGUCAGCCGCCGCGGUAAUACCAGCUCCUCGAGUGGUCGGGACGAUUAUUGGGCCUAAAGCAUCCGUAGCCGGCUCUGUAGGUCUCCCGUUAAAUUCAACGGCUCAACCGUUGACCUGCGGGAGAUACCGCAGGGCUAGGAGGCGGGAGAGGCGGACGGUACUCCGGGGGUAGGGGUAAAAUCCUUUGAUCCUCGGAAGACCACCAGUGGCGAAAGCGGUCCGCCAGAACGCGCUCGACCGGUGAGGGAUGAAAGCUGGGGGAGCGAACCGGAUUAGAUACCCGGGUAGUCCCAGCCGUAAACGAUGCGAGCUAGGUGAUGGGAUGGCUAAGAGCCGUCCCAGUGCCGCAGGGAAGCCGUUAAGCUCGCCGCCUGGGGAGUACGGCCGCAAGGCUGAAACUUAAAGGAAUUGGCGGGGGAGCACCACAAGGGGUGAAGCCUGCGGUUCAAUUGGAGUCAACGCCGGGAACCUUACCGGGAGAGACAGCAGAGUGAAGGUCAGGCUGAAGACUUUACCAGACAAGCUGAGAGGAGGUGCAUGGCCGUCGCCAGCUCGUGCCGUGAGGCGUCCUGUUAAGUCAGGCAACGAGCGAGACCCCUGCCGCUAAUUGCUAUCCUCCUCCGAAAGGGUGGGGAGGCUAGUUAGCGGGACUGCCGCCGCUAAGGCGGAGGAAGGAAGGGGCCACGGCAGGUCAGUAUGCCCCGAAACUCCCGGGCCACACGCGGGCUGCAAUGGUAGGGACAAUGAGUUCCGACCUCGAAAGAGGAAGGUAAUCCUCAAACCCUACCUCAGUUGUGACUGAGGGCUGCAACCCGCCCUCACGAAUCUGGAAUCCCUAGUAACCGCGCGUCAUCAUCGCGCGGUGAAUACGUCCCUGCUCC
RNAcentral lists this ribosomal RNA (1354 nucleotides) under uncultured archaeon. RNAcentral's name for it is "bacterial SSU rRNA". It matches the Rfam family "Archaeal small subunit ribosomal RNA", at positions 10 to 1336 of the family's 1478-position model. The record is from RNAcentral.